Molecule: ribosomal RNA, 230 nt
Filed under: uncultured bacterium
Lineage: Bacteria
Description: partial 16S ribosomal RNA
Rfam family: Bacterial small subunit ribosomal RNA
Source: RNAcentral
CUCGUAGGCGGUUCGGUAAGUCAGAUGUGAAAACUCAGGGCUCAACCCUGAGACGCCAUCUGAUACUGCUGUGACUGGAGUCCGGUAGAGGAGCGUGGAAUUCCUGGUGUAGCGGUGAAAUGCGCAGAUAUCAGGAGGAACACCAACGGCGAAGGCAGCGCUCUGGGCCGGUACUGACGCUGAGGAGCGAAAGCAUGGGGAGCAAACAGGAUUAGAUACCCUGGUAGUCC